This 490-nucleotide ribosomal RNA is filed under the name uncultured bacterium. Its description in RNAcentral is "partial 16S ribosomal RNA". It matches the Rfam family "Bacterial small subunit ribosomal RNA", at positions 29 to 507 of the family's 1533-position model. The record is from RNAcentral.
AAUGAACGCUGGCGGCAUGCCUUACACAUGCAAGUCGAACGGCAGCAUGACCUAGCUUGCUAGGUUGAUGGCGAGUGGCGAACGGGUGAGUAAUGCAUCGGAACGUGCCUUUUAGUGGGGGAUAACGUAGCGAAAGUUACGCUAAUACCGCAUAUUCUCUGAGGAGGAAAGCAGGGGACCUUCGGGCCUUGCGCUAGAAGAGCGGCCGAUGUCGGAUUAGCUAGUUGGUGAGGUAAAGGCUCACCAAGGCAACGAUCCGUAGCGGGUCUGAGAGGAUGAUCCGCCACACUGGGACUGAGACACGGCCCAGACUCCUACGGGAGGCAGCAGUGGGGAAUUUUGGACAAUGGGCGCAAGCCUGUUCCAGCCAUGCCGCGUGAGUGAAGAAGGCCUUCGGGUUGUAAAGCUCUUUCGGCUGGGAAGAAAUCGCACCCUCUAAUACAGGGUGUGGAUGACGGUACCAGCAGAAGAAGCACCGGCUAACUACGUG